Salvelinus namaycush (lake trout) is the source of this 272-nucleotide long non-coding RNA. RefSeq lists it as uncharacterized. The record is from RefSeq and is a predicted model, not a curated record. NCBI's taxonomy places the organism in Eukaryota, Metazoa, Chordata, Actinopteri, Salmoniformes, Salmonidae. The transcript is spliced from 3 exons.
UCCCUCUCUCCCUGCAGGCUGCGUGGAUCACAUUCAACUCAGCCUAAAUGAUCACAAACGGUUAACGGAUGGAUUAUAAAAUGGAUGGAUAUUUGGACCAGCAAGUGCCUUACACUUUAGCAAAUAAGUCACAAGGAAAUGGACCCCUAAAUAGACUGUUGAUGGCAGCGAAAAGGAAAUACAUGGACACGGAAUUACCCCCUCAGGAAUCUGAAGACCUCUUUCAGGAUUUAAGCCAACUUCAGGAGACAUGGCUCACUGAAGGUAAUGUG